This 543-nucleotide ribosomal RNA is filed under the name uncultured archaeon. RNAcentral describes it as "bacterial SSU rRNA". It matches the Rfam family "Archaeal small subunit ribosomal RNA", at positions 457 to 997 of the family's 1478-position model. The record is from RNAcentral.
GUCAGCAGCCGCGGUAACACCGGCAGCUCUAGUGGUAGCUAAGUUUUAUGGGCCUAAAGCGUCCGUAGCCGGUUUAAUAAGUCUCGUGGUGAAAUCCUGUAGCUUAACGUGUGGGAAUUGCUGGAGAUACUAUUAGACUUGAGACCGGGAGAGGUUAGAGGUACUCCCAGGGUAGAGGUGAAAUUCUGUAAUCCUGGGAGGACCGCCUGUUGCGAAGGCGUCUAACUGGAACGGUUCUGACGGUGAGGGACGAAAGUUAGGGGCGCGAACCGGAUUAGAUACCCGGGUAGUCCUAAACUGUAAACGAUGCGGACUUGGUGUUGGGGUGGCUUUGAGCUGCUCCAGUGCCGAAGGGAAGCUGUUAAGUCCGCCGCCUGGGAAGUACGGUCGCAAGACUGAAACUUAAGGAAUUGGCGGGGGAGCACCACAACGCGUGGAGCCUGCGGUUUAAUUGGAUUCAACGCCGGACAUCUCACCAGAGGCGACAGCUGUAUGAUAGCCAGGUUGAUGACUUUGCUUGACUAGCUGAGAAGAGGUGCAUGG